GACGAACGCUGGCGGCGUGCUUAACACAUGCAAGUCGAACGGAAAGGCCCUGCUUUUGUGGGGUGCUCGAGUGGCGAACGGGUGAGUAACACGUGAGUAACCUGCCCUUGACUUUGGGAUAACUUCAGGAAACUGGGGCUAAUACCGGAUAGGAGCUCCUGCUGCAUGGUGGGGGUUGGAAAGUUUCGGCGGUUGGGGAUGGACUCGCGGCUUAUCAGCUUGUUGGUGGGGUAGUGGCUUACCAAGGCUUUGACGGGUAGCCGGCCUGAGAGGGUGACCGGCCACAUUGGGACUGAGAUACGGCCCAGACUCCUACGGGAGGCAGCAGUGGGGAAUAUUGCACAAUGGGCGGAAGCCUGAUGCAGCAACGCCGCGUGCGGGAUGACGGCCUUCGGGUUGUAAACCGCUUUCGCCUGUGACGAAGCGUGAGUGACGGUAAUGGGUAAAGAAGCACCGGCUAACUACGUGCCAGCAGCCGCGGUGAUACGUAGGGUGCGAGCGUUGUCCGGAUUUAUUGGGCCGUAAGGGCUCGUAGGUGGUUGAUCGCGUCGGAAGUGUAAUCUUGGGGCUUAACCCUGAGCGUGCUUUCGAUACGGGUUGACUUGAGGAAGGUAGGGGAGAAUGGAAUUCCUGGUGGAGCGGUGGAAUGCGCAGAUAUCAGGAGGAGCACCAGUGGCGAAGGCGGUUCUCUGGGCCUUUCCUGACGCUGAGGAGCGAAAGCGUGGGGAGCGAACAGGCUUAGAUACCCUGGUAGUCCACGCUGUAAACGGUGGGUACUAGGUGUGGGGUCCAUUCCACGGGUUCCGUGCCGUAGCUAACGCUUUAAGUACCCCGCCUGGGGAGUACGGCCGCAAGGCUAAAACUCAAAGGAAUUGACGGGGCCCCGCACAAGCGGCGGAGCAUGCGGAUUAAUUCGAUGCAACGCGUAGAACCUUACCUGGGUUUGACAUGGAUCGGGAGCGCUCAGAGAUGGGUGUGCCUCUUUUGGGGUCGGUUCACAGGUGGUGCAUGGCUGUCGUCAGCUCGUGUCGUGAGAUGUUGGGUUAAGUCCCGCAACGAGCGCAACCCUUGUUCACUGUUGCCAGCACGUUAUGGUGGGGACUCAGUGGAGACCGCCGGGGUCAACUCGGAGGAAGGUGGGGAUGACGUCAAGUCAUCAUGCCCCUUAUGUCCAGGGCUUCACGCAUGCUGCAAUGGCUGGUACAGAGAGUGGCGAGCCUGUGAGGGUGAGCGAAUCUCGGAAAGCCGGUCUCAGUUCGGAUUGGGGUCUGCAACUCGACCUCAUGAAGUCGGAGUCGCUAGUAAUCGCAGAUCAGCAACGCUGCGGUGAAUACGUUCCCGGG
This 1343-nucleotide ribosomal RNA is filed under the name uncultured bacterium. RNAcentral describes it as "16S ribosomal RNA". It matches the Rfam family "Bacterial small subunit ribosomal RNA", at positions 28 to 1378 of the family's 1533-position model. The record is from RNAcentral.